RNAcentral lists this transfer RNA (70 nucleotides) under Alpheus distinguendus. Its description in RNAcentral is "tRNA-Ser". It matches the Rfam family "tRNA". From Rfam's summary of the family: Transfer RNA (tRNA) molecules are approximately 80 nucleotides in length. Their secondary structure includes four short double-helical elements and three loops (D, anti-codon, and T loops). Further hydrogen bonds mediate the characteristic L-shaped molecular structure. tRNAs have two regions of fundamental functional importance: the anti-codon, which is responsible for specific mRNA codon recognition, and the 3' end, to which the tRNAs corresponding amino acid is attached (by aminoacyl-tRNA synthetases). tRNAs cope with the degeneracy of the genetic code in two manners: having more than one tRNA (with a specific anti-codon) for a particular amino acid; and 'wobble' base-pairing, i.e. permitting non-standard base-pairing at the 3rd anti-codon position. Lineage: Eukaryota; Metazoa; Arthropoda; Malacostraca; Decapoda; Alpheidae. The record is from RNAcentral.
GGUUAUUUAACUUUCAGGAAAGUAGAUGUUUUGAAAGCAUCCUAAAAGGGUUCGACUCCCUUAAUGGCCC